GCAGACUCACUCUGCACCUGGCUGCAGCCCCAGGCGGGUGCUUUUUCCGUCUGCCAGAGUAACAUCCCAGGGUGCUGUGACCACCUUGACCUAUCAAGGGUGAUGCAGUUGUCUGGGGACACGGUG
Small nucleolar RNA from Panthera leo (lion), 126 nucleotides. The record is from Ensembl. Lineage: Eukaryota; Metazoa; Chordata; Mammalia; Carnivora; Felidae.